This 254-nucleotide ribosomal RNA is filed under the name uncultured bacterium. RNAcentral describes it as "partial 16S ribosomal RNA". It matches the Rfam family "Bacterial small subunit ribosomal RNA", at positions 524 to 776 of the family's 1533-position model. The record is from RNAcentral.
CGCGUAGGGUGCGAGCGUUGUCCGGAAUUAUUGGGCGUAAAGAGCUCGUAGGCGGUGUGUCGCGUCGGCCGUGAAAACCUGCAGCUUAACUGUGGGCUUGCGGUCGAUACGGGCAUCACUGGAGUUCGGCAGGGGAGACUGGAAUUCCUGGUGUAGCGGUGAAAUGCGCAGAUAUCAGGAGGAACACCGGUGGCGAAGGCGGGUCUCUGGGCCGAUACUGACGCUGAGGAGCGAAAGCGUGGGGAGCGAACAGG